GGGCGCAUAGCUCAGUGGAAGAGCGCCACCUUGACACGGUGGAGGCCGAUAGUUCGAUCCUAUCUGCGCCCA
This 72-nucleotide transfer RNA is filed under the name Amphiplicatus metriothermophilus. It matches the Rfam family "tRNA". From Rfam's summary of the family: Transfer RNA (tRNA) molecules are approximately 80 nucleotides in length. Their secondary structure includes four short double-helical elements and three loops (D, anti-codon, and T loops). The record is from Rfam by way of RNAcentral. Lineage: Bacteria; Pseudomonadati; Pseudomonadota; Alphaproteobacteria; Parvularculales; Parvularculaceae.